AGAGAGAGACAUGCGCGCAUAUCAAUAAGCGGAGGAAAAGAAACUAACUAGGAUUCCCUCAGUAACGGCGAGUGAAGCGGGAAGAGCUCAAAUUUGAAAUCUUCAAGGUUCUACCUUGACGAAUUGUAGUUUAAAGAAGUGUUUUCUGUUGGAGUUUUGGUAAAAGUUCUUUGGAAUAGGACAUCAUAGAGGGUGAGAAUCCCGUAUUUGACCAUUAUUUCCAGCUUUGCGAUACACUUUCAAAGAGUCGGAUUGUUUGGGAAUGCAGUCCAAAAUGGGUGGUAAAUUUCAUCUAAAGCUAAAUAUUGGCGAGAGACCGAUAGCGAACAAGUACCGUGAGGGAAAGAUGAAAAGAACUUUGAAAAGAGAGUUAAACAGUACGUGAAAUUGUCAAAAGGGAAGCGUUUGACACCAGUGUUGUUUUCUCGAAAAUCAAUUAAAAAAGGCAGGAUUUUGUGUUGUAUUGACUUUAUCAGCUUUCUGCACUCUUUUCUUGUCUUUUUUUAAUGCACUUUUCGUUUAACAAGUCAACAUCAAUUUCUUUUGUUGUAAAGGGUCAUUGGAAGGUGGCUUUCUUUUCGGAGAAAGUGUUUAUAGCCUUUGACUCCUGCAAUCGGAGAGACUGAGGUCUGCAGCGUAGGAUCCUUCGGGGUUAGAUACAUUUGUGCUAAGUUAUAGCCUUUUAUAGACAACUUGUUGACUAUGAUUAGUCAUUGUAGCUUACUCGCUUAUGCUAUUUUACCUACGCUUAGGAUGUUGAUGUGAUACUGCGAGCA
Molecule: ribosomal RNA, 776 nt
Filed under: uncultured Neocallimastigales
Lineage: Eukaryota; Fungi; Neocallimastigomycota; Neocallimastigomycetes; Neocallimastigales
Description: partial large subunit ribosomal RNA
Rfam family: Eukaryotic large subunit ribosomal RNA
Source: RNAcentral